RNAcentral lists this ribosomal RNA (508 nucleotides) under uncultured bacterium. RNAcentral's name for it is "bacterial SSU rRNA". It matches the Rfam family "Bacterial small subunit ribosomal RNA", at positions 19 to 518 of the family's 1533-position model. The record is from RNAcentral.
CUGGCUCAGGAUGAACGCUAGCGGCAGGCUUAACACAUGCAAGUCGAGGGGUAACAGGGAGUAGCAAUACUCUGCUGACGACCGGCGCACGGGUGCGUAACGCGUAUGCAACCUACCUGUAACAGGGGUAUAACGGGGUGAAAAUCCCACUAAUCCCCCAUAUUGUUGGAGAUUCGCAUGAUUUUCCAACGAAAGGUUAUUCUGGUUACAGAUGGGCAUGCGUGACAUUAGCUAGUUGGUAGGGCAACGGCCUACCAAGGCGACGAUGUCUAGGGGAGCUGAGAGGCUUAUCCCCCACACUGGUACUGAGACACGGACCAGACUCCUACGGGAGGCAGCAGUGAGGAAUAUUGGUCAAUGGACGGAAGUCUGAACCAGCCAUGCCGCGUGGAAGGAAGAAGGUCCUAUGGGUUGUAAACUGCUUUUAUGCGGGAAUAAAGUCAGGUACGUGUACCUGUUUGUAUGUACCGCAUGAAUAAGGACCGGCUAAUUCCGUGCCAGCAGCUGC